RNAcentral lists this long non-coding RNA (473 nucleotides) under Anas platyrhynchos platyrhynchos (common mallard). RNAcentral describes it as "lncRNA (ENSAPLG00000029976.1)". The record is from RNAcentral. Lineage: Eukaryota; Metazoa; Chordata; Aves; Anseriformes; Anatidae.
CUCACCUUGUUCAACACAACUGGAGCCAGACUUUUCAGAACAGAUUGGUAUUCUUCAGUUCUCCAAGUUAAGGGCUGUUUAUUUUGAAAGGAAUGAAUGGCCAAUUAGGCUGUGAAGGCGUGCUGCAGCCUGCCAUUUCUCUUGGCAAUAACUUGGAAGAAAGAAGAGAAGCUUUUUGGAAAAAAAUCUCUGCUAAGGGCUACUUUCCACUGGGAUCCAGUCCACAGCAUAUUCACAGAAGCACUUGUCUUGCUGCAGCAGAGCGUGGUGGAGGUGGGAGGAAGAAGGUCUGCCUGGGAGCUGGCAACCCCACACCUCAAAUCACCACUGGGAAAACAGUCCAUGGGAAUGCAUCCUCCUCCCGCUUCAAGUCUUACCUGUAUUUGGCAGUGGGAUUUAAGGUGAAGCAAAUAUUGCUUCAUUUAAAAGAAAAGUCUUCAUCCCCAAACGACACAGAUUUGAAUCUAAGUUGA